GCCGAGGAGCGUUGCAACAGGAGUCAAGGACUUCCUGCCAGGCUCGGCCAGUGUCAGUCAUUCAAUGCAACUGCGCUCGGU
RNAcentral lists this non-coding RNA (81 nucleotides) under marine eukaryotic metagenome. RNAcentral's name for it is "S-adenosyl-L-homocysteine riboswitch". It matches the Rfam family "SAH (S-adenosyl-L-homocysteine) riboswitch aptamer", at positions 4 to 72 of the family's 78-position model. The record is from RNAcentral.